GGGGUAUCUAGGACUCAGCAGUGGGUCUUUAUCUCUGCCUUCUCCCUCAAUUGGUUCAGCGACAGAAUCGGACAUGGAAUCCCCCUCCCAGAACCCAUUCGUACCAUUGAGGUGUCACCACCUGAAACAUUGCUUGUGUCUAGGAGGUGGCCAAGGGGACCAUUACGCAGCACCAGGCAUUCACUGAAGAAGAGGAGCAUGGGAGGUGCUGGAGAAUUUUAAGAAAUAAAAUAACUGCUCUGGUUCAGAUGUUGGUCCUAGGAUGGCAGUAUUGGGAGGUGCUUAGGUCACUGGAGACAUGUCCCUGAAGGGAACUGUGGGACCCUGGUCCCAUUCUGUGCUUCCUGAUUCAUGUUCAGUUUACUCCAUCAUGUACUCCCACCAUGAUGUGCAAUCGCUGCCGAAAGCCCAAACCACUGGGGCUACCCAAUCUUGGAGUAGAACUCUGAACUGGAAUAAAC
RNAcentral lists this long non-coding RNA (461 nucleotides) under Marmota monax (woodchuck). Lineage: Eukaryota; Metazoa; Chordata; Mammalia; Rodentia; Sciuridae. The record is from RNAcentral.